Molecule: ribosomal RNA, 492 nt
Filed under: uncultured bacterium
Lineage: Bacteria
Description: partial 16S ribosomal RNA
Rfam family: Bacterial small subunit ribosomal RNA
Source: RNAcentral
AGUGAACGCUGGCGGUAGGCCUAACACAUGCAAGUCGAACGGCAGCACAGUAAGAUCUUGCUCUUACGGGUUGCGAGUGGCGGACGGGUGAGGAAUACAUCGGAAUCUACUUUUUCGUGGGGGAUAACGUAGGUAAACUUACGCUAAUACCGCAUACGACCUACGGGUGAAAGCAGUGGAUCUUCUGACCUUGCGCGAUUGAAUGAGCCGAUGUCGGAUUAGCUAGUUGGCGGGGUAAAGGCCCACCAAGGCGACGAUCCGUAGCUGGUCUGAGAGGAUGAUAAGCCACACUGGAACUGAGACACGGUCCAGACUCCUAAGGGAGGCAGCAGUGGGGAAUAUUGGACAAUGGGCGCAAGCAUGAUCCAGCGAUACCGCGUGGGUGAAGAAGGCGUUCGGGUUGUAAAGCCCUUUUGUUGGGAAAGAAAAGCAGCAGGUUAAUACCCCGCUGUUCUGACGGUACCCAAAGAAUAAGCACCGGCUAACUUCGUG